ACCAGAUUGAAAACUGGGCAAAGAAACUGAAUGAGCAUUUCUUUAAAGAAGACAUACAAAUGGCCAGCAUGUAUAUGAAAAGACACUGAAAACACACUAAUU
Molecule: long non-coding RNA, 102 nt
Organism: Sapajus apella (tufted capuchin)
Lineage: Eukaryota; Metazoa; Chordata; Mammalia; Primates; Cebidae
Exons: 3
Source: RefSeq, a predicted model, not a curated record